GGAUGGGUCUUCUUUCGCCGUCUUCUGGGUUCCGGCUGAGAAGGGUAGGCCGUCGUUGCUGUCCUCCUCGGAGUCGACGGGCCUGACUCUUCACCUCGCCGUUGCUGCUUUACUCAUAUUCCGGCGAGGCAGCAAGGGCUCGUCGUCAUUCCCUCGGUUCGACUGAACAGGUACAUCAAUCUAGUCCCCUUCCAUUUUUCUUUUGUUCUAAGUUAACAUCUCAAAUCUGCGUGAAGUCUUGGUUCUAUAUACUAUAUGCGCAAGGGAUUAAUGGCGUUGUGGGUUUGCUACUUUGUUAGCAUCUAAUUUUUUUUAGAGUCCAGUGGGAAUCAUAAACGCAUAGGACAUUCUACAUAACAUGGGUAAAUCUGUAUUACUGAAACGUGACUUUGCUAAGUCCAUUAUGCAUAUAUAUCUCAAUUCUUUAUUCUGACUUUCUAACACAUAAGCAUACUUGUUGGUGUAAAUCAUGUAGCAUGAACUAGAGUAAAAUGAGAUUAGCAAUCACCUUGUGUGUUUUGUGCUUGGUUGGCUGCUGUGCUAAUGAAUUCAGGAGUGAAUAAACUGAAACAUAAUUGUGGAUUUUUGCUUAACCAUUGCAGGCUGAACUCAAGAAAAAAAAUGGAGAAGUUUAAGUUGAGCUUACCUCUUGGGGUCCAGAUUGCAGCUGAAAUAAACUCUCUAUGAUUUUUGGUGCAUAAAGGAAGGAGUAGAUUUGCUGCUGUGAUGAAGAAGGUGAAUGAGGAUGGUUUUAUACUGAACUUAUGGAGAGCUGAUUAGUGUGAAAAGAUGAUGAAUAGUACGGCUAAAUUGUAGAGCGUGGUUGAAGAAUUUAAAGAUGAGAUUUGCUGUUGACAUUCUUGAGAUUUGUUUG
This 874-nucleotide long non-coding RNA is filed under the name Salvia miltiorrhiza (redroot sage). Its description in RNAcentral is "long non-coding RNA (SMIL_LNC000435)". Lineage: Eukaryota; Viridiplantae; Streptophyta; Magnoliopsida; Lamiales; Lamiaceae. The record is from RNAcentral.